Molecule: ribosomal RNA, 494 nt
Filed under: uncultured bacterium
Lineage: Bacteria
Description: partial 16S ribosomal RNA
Rfam family: Bacterial small subunit ribosomal RNA
Source: RNAcentral
GACGAACGCUGGCGGCGUGCUUAACACAUGCAAGUCGAACGGUGAAGCGCCUUCCUUUUUGGUGGGUGUGGAUGAGUGGCGAACGGGUGAGUAACACGUGAGUAACCUGCCCCCUUCUUCUGGAUAACCGCAUGAAAGUGUGGCUAAUACGGGAUAUUCUGGGUCUGUCGCAUGAUGGGUCUGGGAAAGAUAUUGUUUCGGUGGGGGAUGGGCUCGCGGCCUAUCAGCUUGUUGGUGGGGUGAUGGCCUACCAAGGCGGUGACGGGUAGCCGGCCUGAGAGGGUGGACGGUCACACUGGGAAUGAGACACGGCCAAGACUCCUACGGGAGGCAGCAGUGGGGAAUAUUGCACAAUGGGCGCAAGCCUGAUGCAGCGACGCCGCGUGAGGGAUGGAAGCCUUCGGGUUGCGAACCUCUUUCGCCAGUGAAGCAGGCCUGCCUCGUUUGUGGGUGGGUUGACGGUAGCUGGAUAAGAAGCGCCGGCUAACUACGUG